AUUGAACGCUGGCGGCAGGCUUAACACAUGCAAGUCGAGCGGAGCGGCGGACGGGUGAGUAAUGCUUAGGAAUCUGCCUAUUAGUGGGGGAUAACGUCCGGAAACGGGCGCUAAUACCGCAUACUAUCAGAUGAGCCUAGGUCGGAUUAGCUAGUUGGUGGGGUAAAGGCCUACCAAGGCGACGAUCCGUAACUGGUCUGAGAGGAUGAUCAGUCACACUGGAACUGAGACACGGUCCAGACUCCUACGGGAGGCAGCAGUGGGGAAUAUUGCACAAUGGGCGAAAGCCUGAUGCAGCCAUGCCGCGUGUGUGAAGAAGGCCUUCGGGUUGUAAAGCACUUUCAGCGGGGAGGCGUUACCCGCAGAAGAAGCACCGGCUAACUCCGUGCCAGCCGCCGCGGUAAUUC
RNAcentral lists this ribosomal RNA (407 nucleotides) under uncultured bacterium. RNAcentral's name for it is "partial 16S ribosomal RNA". It matches the Rfam family "Bacterial small subunit ribosomal RNA", at positions 30 to 526 of the family's 1533-position model. The record is from RNAcentral.